Molecule: small nuclear RNA, 105 nt
Organism: Eptesicus fuscus (big brown bat)
Lineage: Eukaryota; Metazoa; Chordata; Mammalia; Chiroptera; Vespertilionidae
Source: RefSeq, a predicted model, not a curated record
GCCUGCUUCGGCAGCACAGAGACUAAAAUUGGAACGGCAUAGCGAACUUGAGCACAGCUCCUGUGAAAGGGCGACGUGCAAAUUUGUGGAACGGUCCAUAUUUUU